This 138-nucleotide small nucleolar RNA is filed under the name Macaca mulatta (Rhesus monkey). Its description in RNAcentral is "H/ACA box 15 snoRNA". It matches the Rfam family "Small nucleolar RNA SNORA15". From Rfam's summary of the family: ACA15 is a member of the H/ACA class of snoRNA that guide the sites of modification of uridines to pseudouridines. Lineage: Eukaryota; Metazoa; Chordata; Mammalia; Primates; Cercopithecidae. The record is from RNAcentral.
AAGGCAUGGCCGAAUACUGUGUUCUUUUAUCAGUAGUUUACACAGCCAGACACCAUGCAAAAGCAGUCUUCCCUUUGGAAUGACCAAUGGUAUGCUAAGGUUUUUCAUAGCAUAUCAUUAUUAAAGGUGAAUACAGAU